Long non-coding RNA from Delphinapterus leucas (beluga whale), 3996 nucleotides. NCBI's taxonomy places the organism in Eukaryota, Metazoa, Chordata, Mammalia, Artiodactyla, Monodontidae. The record is from Ensembl.
AUGUUUUAUGUAGAUGGCCAGCGUGUGGCGCUGUUUCCUGCUAAAAGUUGCCUUUUUCCUUUUCAGAAAGUUCUCCGAAUCUAUGGUAUUUACAUGGCUCAGUGGAAAUUUCCAUGGGCUGAACGACAUCAAAGAAGAACAACCCCGCUUCAGUCUUUCAACAGAAUAGAGCUUCAGUUUUCUGAGGAGCACCUGUGUAGGCUUCUUUUCAUGUUUAGGAAUGAAACUCAGAAUAAAAAGCUCUCUCUAUGUUCCCUGGAUCAUACAGUUCAAAGCUGAGCAGACGAGAGUUAAGUCUGGAGGAGGGGGAAAGCCCGGUUGAAGAAGAGAUCUGGAAGAGUCUGGCUACCAAAUUCUGACAACCCCGCAGGCAGAUGUAGAGGUGAGUACAGGUCAAGGCUCUAGCAUGGCUCGCUUCUUGGAUUUUCUCAAAAUGUUAAUUUUUAAUUUUUUAAAAUUAAUUUUAAUUUCUCUGGAUGUUAACUGCAGUUUCUGAGAGAAGAUGCAUGUUAUUGCAUCAUCCAGUGAAAGCAAUUAAAAGGAAACUGGGCACCAUAUGUGAGUUCCCUGCCCUCACGUCACUGUCCCCUAUAACCCAUAACCAAUGACCAUGGACCACACUAGGUUUAAAACUCAUAAAUGCCAUCGAACUAAAGUAUUGGCCUUCUCCAGUUUUAGAGUAAGCUCUCAAUUUGCUUUUCCAAGAGGGGAAUGUCAGAGAAAGAUUGUGUUUGCUUCCUUCACAGUUUAUCCUUAUCGAAUGCAGCUGAAAAGCCUUUAAAGAGACAAGCCGCUGGCCCCCAAAAAUGAGUCUAAGAGUGUCUUGGCUAAACGUUUUGGAAAAAAUAUAUCAAUAUGAUUAUUAAGAAGUAGAUAGGUGUGUCCAAUCUAUAUCAACACACAUACCUAAAAAAGGUACUUUAAACAAAAUGAAGUCAUAGAUGCUACUGAAAUCAAAGCUUCCACUCCAUUUUAAAUGGGGCAAGUUUUCUAAAUCAGUUCUCUCUCAAACCUGUCCGUGACUCACUUGCUCUAGGAUCAGGAGGUGUUGUUUCGAAGCUGAGAUUCCAGGGCUGCCUCACCUCAGAUAUGCUUACUUAGAAUCUCUGCACGUGGAGUCUUGGAGUGCACCUUUAACAAACCUCUCAGGGGCCUCUUAUUCUCUGCUUAAGAAAAAAAAAAGAAAAAAGUAUAAAAAGGAGAAGAAACUGAUAACCUAAAUCAAUUGCAAGGAAGAGCAUAGCUAACUUUUUGGAAACUGGGAAUGGGGCCUGGUUUUGUGUUUCUUCUGUAACCUGACUGAGAUGGACCACACAUCCUGGUCCAACUGUGUUCAUAUACAUAGAGACAAGAGUCAAUUAAGGCCCUUUUCUACUCUCUUUAAUAGAUGGGUGUUUUGUCUAUUUAAGUCCCACUGAAGUCAAUAUGAGGUUCAUUUCCUCUCCAAAUUCAGACCGUGAGGUCCAAUGUGGCUUUGAGGAAAGACAUACUAACUUUCUUACUAAGGCACCUGGACGAGUCCCACCCAUCCAUUUACCUGUCAUUCCUUCCAUACGUACUUCUGGUUCCCCUCUCAUGUGGUUGGUCUUCAGGAACGUAGCGUAUGGCUUACCCAGUCAUGUCAAAAGUUAGGGAGUCUCUGUGCCAGUUCAAAGGGUGAGCUGUGUAAUAGUCACGCGUAUGUGAGCAGAAUAAAAGUAGAUUUUGACUGUUAUUCUGACUUUACCAAAAUGCUUCCCUUUUCAAAGUUACUUUAGACUGCAAUUAAAAUAAAUAACAUGAAAAAAAGCCAGCACAAUCACAGAAGAUGUCUGUGAUAAUUCUAAAAGAAGAAAGCAAUGUAACCACAAGUAUUAUUUUAACAUAUGCAUAAUAAAGUAGCCCUGUGUGUUUAAUCCUAAGCUUUUUGUGCAACUCAGUAGAUGUUCUUUUGUGGUUUAUCAUAAAAUGCAUUUAUUCAUGGAAAUGAAUAUGUUAUGUAACCCAUAUAAGCAGAACACACGUCGCUUUUUUAAAAAAUGCAGUGAUCCCUUUGAACAUUUAGAAGCUGUUUUAAAAGCCCAGCAUGCUUGUCCCUGUGAUUUCGCUUUCUAGAAUAUAAAUUUCAUGAUAUAACGCGCAGAGUUAUAAAUCAAAGAUACCAUAAGAAAAUAUAGGCAUCAUAAUACCCUUACCUUCAUCAAGACCAGGUAUUUGCUGAACUUCAAAACUCAAACCCUGUGGGAAGGAGGCACUGCAGCUUUUGGAAGUGUUUUUAGUCAUUCCUGAAUGAAAGUGAUAACAUUCAGAAGACAAUCCCUGUAUUUAGAUGUCUCUCCUCCGUUGGUUGACCUAAGGCUCAGUGCACCUUCCUGCUUGGGGUCACCACGGUUAGCUUCUUUGCUCUUAGUCAAUACUGAGUAUGUUUAACAUUCUUUAAAAAGAUUUCCAUCCACAGUUCUGAGCAUCUUUUAAACAAACUUAUGAGUUCAUGUGAGCCCAUGUCUACAUUUUUUAUGUUUCCGGCUCACGUGUAGCAUUGUCACGCUAAAAGCUACAGGUGCCGCCGGCUAUGUAAUUCGUGGGACCUAGGGCGAGAUGAAAAUUCGGGGGACGGUGUUGAAAAUUAACAUCAGCGUUGUGACACAAGAGCAUCAAACAAGGUAUGGAUCCUUCUAAGGUCACACACCCAUCAGGCCAGCUCUGCCUACAGAACCUUUUGAACAAAACCACGCUGGCUUUUACAACUCAUUGGGAAACACGCUAAGCAAUUAAUUUUAUUGGCCUCGCUGAUGUAAACUAUAUGAAGAAAUACACAUGUAAGAUGAUGUAAAAGAAACAUGGGUGUAAUAGGAUAACUGUAGAUGGUUGUUGGUACCAUUGAACAGGAAGAUCUCAAAAUCUCAGAGUGGAAAAUCUGCAGAGUUUUAGGGGGACAGGAUUGGAGGUUGGGAGAAGCCACGGGCUCUGUGGGAAGAAGACCCCAGCUUCGCGCGGUAUCUUUGAGCAGGUGGCGUGCAUCUAGACGCUCCGGCUACACUUAGUGGUGUAUUUAGGGAGAUACUGCGUUUUGGAAUGUGCGAGGGCAAUUCUGCACGAGAACGUGGCAGUGCCAGUUCAUGGGAGUAUCAGUCAGUUGCCCCGCAUCCGAAUGAGUGUGCGUGAGUCUUUUGGACUCUGUUGCGUUACAUAAGUAUCCCCAAGUUUGGAGCACAGCCGUCCUCACAUCCCAGCCCUCUGUAGGCUCUCCUACCGGCAGGGGGCUGGAGCACAGUCACUUCCCAGUGGAGCUCAGGGCAGUACAGAGCUUUGUUAGGGGUGGUGUAGCAUAGACGCUGCUGCGUCUCUUCCUCUGGUGGGGCCCUAGCUGGGGAUGGAGAACGCGUGUGGUGAAAGAGCAUUGGAAGAGAGUACAAGAGGGGACGGUGCAGCAAUUUUGCUGCUGAAAAGGCCAAAUCAAAAGACUUGGGCCAAAGACAAGGAGAAGAGCGGAGGAAAGGUUUGUCUUGAAUAAGUCACUCAGGCUGGGCGGGUAGUGCUUACUAGAACAACACACACCUGAGGAAACCAGGGGGCGGGGGGGGGGUGGGGGGGGGGUGGGUCUAUGGAACAACACACACCUGAGGAAACCAGGAGGGUCUAUGAGCUGCCCGCUCAGAUCGGUUUCCACGGGACAACAGGAAGGAGGGAAGGAAAGGAUUGGAGGAAGGUCUGAAUGGAGGGAGGAAAAAGAGAGGGAAGUAGGAAGGAAGGGAGGAAGAGAGGAAGGGAAUGAAGGAAAGAAAGAAGGAACGAGGGAGGGAGGAUGAGGGACGUGUCAGUCAAAAGUCCCUGCCUGGCCUCUGUCUCGCCUUAUUACACCCACCACAGUCCUCUCACUUAGCUCUUUCCCACUCCUCGGGAAAAGGGAAAUUCAGAUAAGCGAAAGCGUGAGCGGAGCUGAGCCCGGGGUAGGAACCGGGGAGAAAGCCCACAGCUUAGGGGCGCUCCGUCCUUCCUUAGCCUGUUCCCAUGCCC